GUGCAAAGGUAAUUGCGGAUUUUGCCAUUACUUUUAACAAAAACUGCAAUUACUUUUGCGCCAACCUAAU
This is a microRNA precursor of Gorilla gorilla gorilla (western lowland gorilla), 70 nucleotides long. NCBI's taxonomy places the organism in Eukaryota, Metazoa, Chordata, Mammalia, Primates, Hominidae. The record is from Ensembl.